GCGGGAAUAGCUUAGUUGGGAGAGCGUCAGACUGAAGAUUUGAAGGUCGCGUGUUCGAUUCAUGCUUAUCGCA
Musa acuminata subsp. malaccensis (wild Malaysian banana) is the source of this 73-nucleotide non-coding RNA. The record is from Rfam. NCBI's taxonomy places the organism in Eukaryota, Viridiplantae, Streptophyta, Magnoliopsida, Zingiberales, Musaceae.